AGGUCGGAAUAGCCUGGUGGUGGAGUUAUGGCUCACCAAGGGGACGAUCCUUAAGUGGUCUGAGGGGAUGAUCAGUCACACCGGAANUGAGACACGUCCCAGACUCUUACGGGAGGCAGCAGUGGGGGAAUAGUGGACAAUGGGCGAAAGCCUGAUCCAGCCAUGCCGCGUGUGUGAAGAAGUUCUUCGGAUUGUAAAGCACUUUAAGUUGGGAGGAAGGGUUGUAGAUUAAUACUCUGCAAUUUUGACGUUACCGACAGAAUAAGCACCGGCUAACUCUGUGCCAGCAGCCGCGGUAAUACAGAGGGUGCAAGCGUUAAUCGGAAUUACUGGGCGUAAAGCGCGCGUAGGUGGUUUGUUAAGUUGGAUGUGAAAGCCCCGGGCUCAACCUGGGAACUGCAUCCAAAACUGGCAAGCUAGAGUACGGUAGAGGGUGGUGGAAUUUCCUGUGUAGCGGUGAAAUGCGUAGAUAUAGGAAGGAACACCAGUGGCGAAGGCGACCACCUGGACUGAUACUGACACUGAGGUGCGAAAGCGUGGGGAGCAAACAGGAUUAGAUAAUCUGGUAGUC
Molecule: ribosomal RNA, 571 nt
Filed under: uncultured bacterium
Lineage: Bacteria
Description: bacterial SSU rRNA
Rfam family: Bacterial small subunit ribosomal RNA
Source: RNAcentral